AUUCCUGUCAGAAUGGAACUGUCCACCUUUUGGCGGACUAGGUGAUCCACACCAGUGUCUCGGACAGCGGUUCGAUUCCGCUCAGCUCCAUUUACUUUUUGGGGCUGCAAUGGUUUCGACGGGGUAUGAGGAGGGUGACUGAAGCCUGCUCGGUAUGAGCAACUACGUAACUGCGAACAACAUCGUUCGUUUCUCCCGUCAGACAGCCCCUGUUGCUGCCUGACCCUUAGGGGAGAUGGGGUGAGGUCAGCCUUAUCACCCAAAUGACCCAUGGGGCCUGGAAGGGCCCCUCUUUUAUUGCUAUAACAAGGGUC
Molecule: transfer-messenger RNA, 314 nt
Filed under: Prochlorococcus marinus str. MIT 9215
Lineage: Bacteria; Bacillati; Cyanobacteriota; Cyanophyceae; Synechococcales; Prochlorococcaceae
Description: transfer-messenger RNA, SsrA
Rfam family: Cyanobacteria transfer-messenger RNA
About the family: Bacterial tmRNA, also known as 10Sa RNA or SsrA, is named for its dual tRNA and mRNA-like properties. Its role is to liberate the mRNA from a stalled ribosome.
Source: RNAcentral